AGCAGCCGCGGUAAUUCCAGCUCCAAUAGCGUAUAUUAAAGUUGUUGCAGUUAAAAAGCUCGUAGUUGAAUUUCGGGGUUAGCAGGUCGGUCGUGCCAUCGGUAUGAACUGGUCUCGCUGAUCCCUCCCUCUUGACGAACUGUGAUGCCAUUAAUUUGGUGUCGCAGGGAAUCAGGACUGUUACUUUGAAAAAUUAGAGUGUUUAAAGCAGGCUCACGCUUGAAUACAUUAGCAUGGAAUAAUGAAAUAGGACGUUUGAUCCUAUUUUGUUGGCUUCUAGGAUUGACGUAAUGAUUAAUAGGGAUAGUUGGGGGCAUUAGUAUUCAAUUGUCAGAGGUGAAAUUCUUGGAUUUAUUGAAGACUAACUACUGCGAAAGCAUUUGCCAAGGAUGUUUUCAUUAAUCAAGAACGAAAGUUAGGGGAUCGAAGACGAUCAGAUACCGUCGUAGUCUUAACCAUAAACUAUGCCGACUAGGGAUCGGAUGAUGUUAAUUUUU
RNAcentral lists this ribosomal RNA (497 nucleotides) under uncultured Glomus. RNAcentral describes it as "SSU rRNA". It matches the Rfam family "Eukaryotic small subunit ribosomal RNA", at positions 569 to 1071 of the family's 1831-position model. The record is from RNAcentral. Lineage: Eukaryota; Fungi; Glomeromycota; Glomeromycetes; Glomerales; Glomeraceae.